CAAGGGCUAGAUGUGUUGUGAAGCAAGUAUCUUGAAGGAGAAAGAAGUUUCGUAUGCAAACAUCUGUAGGCAUACGUCCAGCAGCUCAAUUCACUAGAAAAGAAAGAGUAAACUGCACCUGGAAAAUCUGCCUUUCACAAACCAGGAGCUAGCCAGUGCAGUGACAGCAAAAUAAAUUUUAUCCACAGACUCCUGUCAACCUCUGGAUCUUUGGAUCAGUUCUUACUUCCUCUUGGCCUCAUUCAUUGCUUCUGAGGAUGAAGUGCUACACACCUGCCAUGGUUGAAACUGUUCUUAUAUCAUCUUCCGAAUGCAGAGACUUCAAGCAUAUGAAAUUGUGAGGUUAAUGCCAUAGUCAAGGCUUCAACCAAAGCUGUUACUGCAGACCUGAGCUGAUUUUUUUUGAGAAAGCCAUGGUAGUUGCUAGUUCUUAACAGAUAGAGGAAUUGUCAACGUUAGUGUUCUGCUUAUCAAGCAAUACAAGAUGUGAGUUUUCCAGCAGAGUAGCAGUCUGGAUGGGGGUGGCAGUACCAUAGGAUGAAUUCCUCACUUCAUCUCAGAUUAGUUUUGAUUUUUCUGUAUUUGUAUAAAAUGGAGAUAAAUAUCCUUGCUUUGUAUUUUCUACUUGGAAUUAUAAGUUUCUGGAAGCACGUCUGUCCUGGGUUCAGCAGUAGCAGUCAUUUUUUCUCCUUCUUAGGAUUUACGGCCUGGGCUUAAACCAUGACGUCUUUUACCACGCAUUCAUGUAUUCAUCUAGUAGGGUUAGCUGUAUUGAAACCUUUUUGUGUAAAGAUUAAGAAUCACUGAAAAUCAAAACCAAGUGGGGCAAGCCUGAAGAUCAUCUUGAUCAUCAUCUGGAUGUACAACUAAAAUAAUUCCUGUUCCUCUGCUUUCAAUAGAGAAAAACACUGUGGCAGUGUUAUUGUGUUGGAUGUGUUAAAUGGCUAAUGAAAACUGCACAGAAAUAAACGUUAUCCAAGGAAAGCAAAGUUUCAGGAUUUUAAUACACUUCACUUGGCAAAUGAGUAAUUUCUGCGUUGCUGUGCUGAAAGAACAAAAUUGUCACAUUUGUGAUGAUGCUACAGAAAUAAAGGACUAAAAGUGCA
This is a long non-coding RNA of Neopsephotus bourkii (Bourke's parrot), 1106 nucleotides long. RefSeq lists it as uncharacterized. The record is from RefSeq and is a predicted model, not a curated record. Lineage: Eukaryota; Metazoa; Chordata; Aves; Psittaciformes; Psittacidae. The transcript is spliced from 2 exons.